UGCCCAGCAACUCCUAUCCCUACCUCCACGCGGUACCGGCCGGUAACUAUGAGCAACCUUAGGGAAGAUCGGGUAACCAACCCCGGUGGGAACUUUGGUCGUAGGCUGACAGGGAAGG
Aedes albopictus (Asian tiger mosquito) is the source of this 118-nucleotide non-coding RNA. Lineage: Eukaryota; Metazoa; Arthropoda; Insecta; Diptera; Culicidae. The record is from Rfam.